CAGGGAGCAUGAGCAGCAAUCUGAUGCCUAAUGAGCCCAAUUUAUCAUGGCGAAGUCGGCUUCUAGGCACGGCAGUAGAUGUAGAUUUUGACUCGGGAAGUCCGUAUGCCAGUGUUUCACUAAGUGAUGCAGAUGGCUCAAGUUUGACGGAUUGGGGCGCGAAUUUGGACCUGGAUAUUGGUGCUGAUUAAUCACAUCCACCCUAUAAUAUGAGAUGCGUGAGAAAUCUUACAUGGAUUACAAUUAAUCUGCAAUUUGCGUGUAUUUUAAUUUAACUUUGCAAGUCAAAUUAAAGUUCAGUCAAUGAUAUAAUGUAAUAAUGAUGAAUGUAAUGAAAUAAAUCUUGU
Long non-coding RNA from Phlebotomus argentipes, 347 nucleotides. RefSeq lists it as uncharacterized. The transcript has 3 exons. NCBI's taxonomy places the organism in Eukaryota, Metazoa, Arthropoda, Insecta, Diptera, Psychodidae. The record is from RefSeq and is a predicted model, not a curated record.